This is a long non-coding RNA of Schistocerca piceifrons (Central American locust), 258 nucleotides long. RefSeq lists it as uncharacterized. The transcript has 3 exons. The record is from RefSeq and is a predicted model, not a curated record. NCBI's taxonomy places the organism in Eukaryota, Metazoa, Arthropoda, Insecta, Orthoptera, Acrididae.
GAUGUUUACGGUUCACAAUCGGAAAGUGAAGUGACGUCAGAUCACAAUGAACCGACCUUUAUACUGAGCAAUAGUUCGCAGUUUGGCGAUGGUAGCACCACAGUCGGUUCCUGGAAGGCAUUAAUUAGGCAACUUGCAACUGGUACCGGGUUCCUGGACAUACAGCUGAAUCUCCAGUAGCCCAGUGUAAGAGUUAACUUGAAGGUAAGGAAAAUAGCAAUAGCCAUUGAUUUUCUCAGCACAUUUAACCACUUCAGG